This is a long non-coding RNA of Triticum aestivum (bread wheat), 337 nucleotides long. RefSeq lists it as uncharacterized. The record is from RefSeq and is a predicted model, not a curated record. The transcript is spliced from 3 exons. Lineage: Eukaryota; Viridiplantae; Streptophyta; Magnoliopsida; Poales; Poaceae.
UAGAUUACGGACACUCACGUAUGCAGGUGUUUGAUAAACAACCUCUGAGAAUACCCUGAUAAUACAAGAUGUAUGUCUCUACACUUCAUAUGGUUACAUGACAUCUACCAGACUAGAUUGAACUUCUGCAGUGCAUGUUUACCUCGAUGUGAAAAAACUUCUAUGUAUGGAUUUUAAAGGCAGCAACCACAAGGAUAAACUAGAGAGGCAGAGAAAAGAGGGAGCUAUUGUUCCAUUACCAGCAUGUAGAUACUACAAGUCAUAUAUGUUUCAGCUAGUUUCUGAGACAUGUAAUUCUUUUAUAGACGAUGUGUACAAUUGAAUUUGUAAACUACUA